RNAcentral lists this ribosomal RNA (1372 nucleotides) under uncultured bacterium. Its description in RNAcentral is "bacterial SSU rRNA". It matches the Rfam family "Bacterial small subunit ribosomal RNA", at positions 28 to 1381 of the family's 1533-position model. The record is from RNAcentral.
GAUGAACGCUGGCGGCGUGCCUAAUACAUGCAAGUCGAGCGAACGGACGAGAAGCUUGCUUCUCUGAUGUUAGCGGCGGACGGGUGAGUAACACGUGGAUAACCUACCUAUAAGACUGGGAUAACUUCGGGAAACCGGAGCUAAUACCGGAUAAUAUUUUGAACCGCAUGGUUCAAAAGUGAAAGACGGUCUUGCUGUCACUUAUAGAUGGAUCCGCGCUGCAUUAGCUAGUUGGUAAGGUAACGGCUUACCAAGGCAACGAUGCAUAGCCGACCUGAGAGGGUGAUCGGCCACACUGGAACUGAGACACGGUCCAGACUCCUACGGGAGGCAGCAGUAGGGAAUCUUCCGCAAUGGGCGAAAGCCUGACGGAGCAACGCCGCGUGAGUGAUGAAGGUCUUCGGAUCGUAAAACUCUGUUAUUAGGGAAGAACAUAUGUGUAAGUAACUGUGCACAUCUUGACGGUACCUAAUCAGAAAGCCACGGCUAACUACGUGCCAGCAGCCGCGGUAAUACGUAGGUGGCAAGCGUUAUCCGGAAUUAUUGGGCGUAAAGCGCGCGUAGGCGGUUUUUUAAGUCUGAUGUGAAAGCCCACGGCUCAACCGUGGAGGGUCAUUGGAAACUGGAAAACUUGAGUGCAGAAGAGGAAAGUGGAAUUCCAUGUGUAGCGGUGAAAUGCGCAGAGAUAUGGAGGAACACCAGUGGCGAAGGCGACUUUCUGGUCUGUAACUGACGCUGAUGUGCGAAAGCGUGGGGAUCAAACAGGAUUAGAUACCCUGGUAGUCCACGCCGUAAACGAUGAGUGCUAAGUGUUAGGGGGUUUCCGCCCCUUAGUGCUGCAGCUAACGCAUUAAGCACUCCGCCUGGGGAGUACGACCGCAAGGUUGAAACUCAAAGGAAUUGACGGGGACCCGCACAAGCGGUGGAGCAUGUGGUUUAAUUCGAAGCAACGCGAAGAACCUUACCAAAUCUUGACAUCCUUUGACAACUCUAGAGAUAGAGCCUUCCCCUUCGGGGGACAAAGUGACAGGUGGUGCAUGGUUGUCGUCAGCUCGUGUCGUGAGAUGUUGGGUUAAGUCCCGCAACGAGCGCAACCCUUAAGCUUAGUUGCCAUCAUUAAGUUGGGCACUCUAAGUUGACUGCCGGUGACAAACCGGAGGAAGGUGGGGAUGACGUCAAAUCAUCAUGCCCCUUAUGAUUUGGGCUACACACGUGCUACAAUGGACAAUACAAAGGGCAGCGAAACCGCGAGGUCAAGCAAAUCCCAUAAAGUUGUUCUCAGUUCGGAUUGUAGUCUGCAACUCGAUUACAUGAAGCUGGAAUCGCUAGUAAUCGUAGAUCAGCAUGCUACGGUGAAUACGUUCCCGGGUCU